GGAAUAUUGGACAAUGGCCGGAAGGCUGAUCCAGCCAUGCCGCGUGAAGGAAUAAGGUCCUAUGGAUUGUAAACUUCUUUUGUACGAGAGCAAUAAGUGUCACGAGUGACACGAUGAGAGUAUCGUACGAAUAAGCAUCGGCUAACUCCGUGCCAGCAGCCGCGGUAAUACGGAGGAUGCGAGCGUUAUCCGGAUUUAUUGGGUUUAAAGGGUGCGUAGGCGGGAUUUUAAGUCAGCGGUGAAACGCAAGGGCUCAACCCUUGACCUGCCGUUGAAACUGGAGUUCUUGAAUGCGGAUGCUGUGGGAGGAAUGUGUGGUGUAGCGGUGAAAUGCAUAGAUAUCACACAGAACACCGAUUGCGAAGGCAUCUCACAAAUCCGUGAUUGACGCUGAGGCACGAAAGUGUGGGGAUCAAACA
Molecule: ribosomal RNA, 419 nt
Filed under: uncultured bacterium
Lineage: Bacteria
Description: bacterial SSU rRNA
Rfam family: Bacterial small subunit ribosomal RNA
Source: RNAcentral